CCAAGCACAGCCCCUCAACCAUCAUCACCCAUAUCCCAAAAACAGAAACACAUCCAUUUGUUUUUGGAAAACAAAAAAAACAAAAAACAGAGAAACAAACAGAGUACAAAAUGGAGAGUGCUCUCUUAUCGUCUUCUCGGUUUCUCUCUUCACAAAAUAGAGAAUUGGGUGGACUAUUGAGGAAUUUUCAGAGCUCGUUUUAUGGUAAACUGAUAUUUAACAGAAGUUUUGUGGGCAGAGAUAGCAGUAUCCGCCAUGGCAGCACCAGCAUAGUAGCCUCAGUGGUUGGAAAGAAGGUCAAGAAAGAAACUGUUAUUCCUGAUCCAGAUUACCGUAUACCAAUUGUCCUACUUGGUUUCGCUGGUGGCUUAGUUUAUACAAAUAAUUUGUUACCAGCAGCUCCUGUAGGUCUUCUCGGAUUACUCCUAUUAGUCCAGACAACUAGGGUGAGAUUUGUCUUCGAUAAGGAGGCUCUGGAAGUAAAAGUUGGAGAGCAGCUUGAGGAGUCGGGUGAAAAUGUUUUUGUGGGUGGAAAAAACCGUUGGAAGUACUCAACAUUUGUAAAUUGGGAGCUCUGGUGGCCAAAUUUUCCGGUUUUAGUGUAUUUUAAGGAGACACAAACGAAGCCUGAAGGACAAGUGCACUUUUUCCCAGUAAUCUUUGAUGGGAAGCAACUUUAUGACGUUAUGGUAGAACGAGCAGGCCCUUCAAAAACUAGCGGUCCAAAACAGUCUUAGAGCUCCAUGCUAAUAACUACCCUGCCAUGCCAUCUCAGAUCAGACAUGUCAGUUUCAUGAGGUAAAAGAGGUUUUUCUGUGAGCUGCUUGAAGUUGCUUAUAGUACUUAGUGCAUAUACUUUCUUGAUCUAGACCAAGCUAUGUAAUUAUUGGACCUAUUACUUCAACACAAUUGUUAGAAAGCACAUUGUAACUGCCUCGAUAAAUUAUACUUGGAAAAUAAAAAAUGAUGAAACAGUGAAUUUUGUUUUCACGUAUAUAAAUGGGUGGAACAUUUGUUUG
RNA transcript from Camellia sinensis, 1019 nucleotides. RefSeq lists it as uncharacterized. NCBI's taxonomy places the organism in Eukaryota, Viridiplantae, Streptophyta, Magnoliopsida, Ericales, Theaceae. The record is from RefSeq and is a predicted model, not a curated record.